RNAcentral lists this long non-coding RNA (386 nucleotides) under Pan troglodytes (chimpanzee). RNAcentral describes it as "long non-coding RNA NONPTRT009077". The record is from RNAcentral. Lineage: Eukaryota; Metazoa; Chordata; Mammalia; Primates; Hominidae.
UGCCUCCCACAGUGCUUGGACAAAAUAAUUACAGCAAGAUGCGGGCACUGAGCUGACUCCUUAUAUAGGACAUCCCAGUGCAGCCUUAUUGCCCUGGCUAUGACUUCCAGUACUAUACUCAAUAAAAGUGGUGAGAGAGGAAGAAACACUGUGACUGAGAAGUCAUGGUGAGGCCAGGGCCUGUCACCACCACUGCUGCCACCGAACAACAGAGAAAGCUCCAGGAGUACCUAGAAGUCGAAAGGAACUUCAAGUGCCAAACACUGAGCUUUAUCUAAAAGCCAAAAAUAAUUGCCCAAAUCUAUCCAAGAGAAUGUUAUCAAUCAUGCUGUUUUGCCUGUUAAGCAUAAGGCCCAUCAGCAUUAAACUCCAGGCCAGACAAGCCA